CUAAGAUUGCUGGAGAAGUUUCUCUGAUAGCUGUUUUCAGCCAUCGUUAUGGUGAGGAAGAGGAGAACUGAGCUUCCUGCAAGUGGUGGGGGUGAGAGCUCCCAGUCUCAUGAAGCUGUUGGGGGUAGUGGUCGUGGUUCCCAGCGACCAUCUGAGAGGGGUGCUCCACCUCAGCAGGGAGCAGGUGGAGGAGCAUACCAAGGUGGUAGGGGUUGGGGGCCCCAGUCUCAGCAAGGAGGUCGUGGUGCUGGCCGAGGCCGUGGUGGGAUUCCUCAACAGCAGCAGUAUGGUGCCCCCCCUGAAUACCAAGGGAGGGGAAGAGGAGGGCCGCCUCAGCAAGGAGGUCGAGGAGGCUAUAGUGGUGGUCGCGGCAGUAGUGGCCGUGGAGGAGGUUCUCCUUCUGGUGGCCCAGCCAGACCACCAGUUCCCGAGCUGCACCAAGCAACCCCGGCUCCUUAUCAUGCUGGGGUGUCCCCUAAGCCCAUGUCAUCUGAGGGGAGCUCUUCGUUCCGACCUCCAGAGCCAUCACCAAUAGUACUGUCUCAGCAGAUACAGGACCUUUCCAUCCAGCAAGAGGGUUCUUCAAGUCAGGCAAUUCAGGCUUUGCCUCCACCCUCAAGUAAAUCAAUGAGGUUCCCCCUUAGGCCUGGGAAGGGUAGCACUGGCAUAAGGUGUAUAGUAAAGGCAAACCACUUCUUUGCUGAAUUACCGGAUAAAGAUUUGCACCAGUAUGAUGUUACCAUCACACCUGAGGUCUCAUCAAGAGGUGUGAACCGUGCUGUAAUGGAACAACUCGUUAAACUGUACAAAGAAUCUCACCUUGGAAAGCGUCUUCCUGCCUAUGAUGGCCGAAAGAGUCUGUACACUGCUGGGCCACUUCCAUUUAUAUCAAAGGAAUUUAAAAUCAUUCUCAUUGAUGAAGAUGACGGAUCAGGCGGGCCAAGGAGGGAGAGGGAGUUUAGAGUUGUAAUCAAAUUAGCUGCACGGGCUGACCUACACCAUUUAGGACUCUUUUUGCAGGGAAGGCAAGCAGAUGCACCACAAGAAGCCCUUCAAGUUCUUGACAUUGUUUUGCGUGAAUUGCCUACUACUCGGUACUGCCCGGUGGGUCGAUCAUUUUAUUCCCCUGAUUUAGGAAGAAGGCAACCCCUUGGUGAGGGUUUGGAAAGUUGGCGUGGUUUUUACCAAAGCAUUCGCCCUACACAAAUGGGACUGUCGCUUAAUAUUGAUAUGUCUUCUACUGCUUUCAUUGAGCCACUACCAGUAAUUGACUUUGUAACCCAACUAUUGAAUCGGGAUGUUUCCUCUAGACCAUUGUCUGACGCUGAUCGGGUCAAGAUAAAAAAAGCACUUAGAGGAGUCAAGGUUGAAGUUACACACCGUGGAAAUAUGCGCAGAAAGUACCGUAUAUCUGGUUUAACAUCACAGGCAACACGGGAGUUGACUUUUCCGGUUGAUGAAAGAGGAACCUUGAAGUCUGUUGUUGAGUAUUUUUAUGAGACAUAUGGAUUUGUAAUUCAACACACUCAAUGGCCCUGUUUACAAGUGGGAAAUCAGCAGAGGCCUAAUUAUUUGCCUAUGGAAGUUUGCAAGAUUGUUGAGGGUCAGAGGUACUCCAAGAGACUGAAUGAGAGGCAGAUCACUGCUUUGCUGAAGGUGACCUGUCAGCGUCCUCAUGAAAGGGAGCUUGAUAUUAUGCAGACUGUUCAUCAUAAUGCUUACCACAAUGAUCCUUAUGCAAAGGAGUUUGGAAUUAAAAUUAGUGAGAAGCUUGCUUCAGUAGAAGCUCGUAUUUUGCCACCCCCAUGGCUUAAAUAUCAUGAAACUGGUAGAGAGAGGGAUUGCCUGCCUCAAGUUGGACAAUGGAACAUGAUGAACAAGAAAAUGGUUAAUGGGGGAACAGUGAACAAUUGGAUAUGCAUAAAUUUUUCUCGGAAUGUUCAAGACAGUGUAGCCCGUGGAUUUUGCCAUGAACUUGCACAAAUGUGUUACAUAUCAGGCAUGGCUUUUAAUCCUGAGCCAGUACUUCCUCCAAUUAGCGGUCGUCCAGAGCAGGUAGAGAAGGUCUUGAAAACUCGUUACCAUGAUGCCAUGACAAAACUUCAGCCCCAGGGCAGGGAACUUGACCUGCUUAUUGUAAUUCUCCCUGAUAAUAAUGGUUCCCUUUAUGGUGAUUUGAAACGGAUUUGUGAAACAGAUCUUGGCCUUGUUUCUCAGUGUUGUUUAACAAAGCAUGUAUUCAAAAUGAGUAAGCAAUAUUUGGCCAAUGUGGCUUUGAAGAUAAAUGUGAAGGUUGGAGGAAGAAAUACUGUACUUGUUGAUGCAUUAUCAAGGCGCAUUCCUUUAGUCAGCGACCGGCCCACUAUUAUUUUUGGUGCUGAUGUUACCCAUCCUCAUCCUGGGGAAGACUCGAGCCCAUCUAUUGCAGCUGUUGUGGCUUCUCAAGAUUGGCCAGAGAUUACAAAGUAUGCUGGUUUGGUUUGUGCUCAAGCCCAUCGACAAGAGCUUAUCCAAGAUUUGUUCAAAGAAUGGCAGGAUCCUGUAAGAGGGAAAGUCUCUGGUGGAAUGAUCAAGGAACUCCUUAUUUCCUUCCGCAGAGCAACUGGACAGAAGCCACAACGUAUCAUAUUUUACAGAGAUGGUGUCAGUGAAGGGCAAUUCUAUCAAGUUUUGCUGUAUGAACUUGAUGCUAUUCGAAAGGCAUGUAAUUCCUUAGAACCAAAUUAUCAGCCUCCUGUAACUUUUGUUGUGGUUCAGAAGCGUCACCACACCAGGUUGUUUGCCAACGACCAUAGUGACCGUAAUGCUGUUGACAGGAGUGGGAAUAUACUGCCUGGUACUGUGGUGGACUCUAAAAUCUGUCAUCCAACAGAGUUCGACUUUUAUUUGUGUAGCCAUGCUGGGAUUCAGGGUACGAGCCGUCCUGCUCAUUACCAUGUACUAUGGGAUGAGAACAAGUUUUCUGCUGAUGGGUUGCAGUCCCUUACGAACAAUCUUUGCUACACAUAUGCGAGAUGCACACGUUCCGUUUCCAUUGUGCCACCUGCAUAUUAUGCUCAUCUUGCUGCAUUUCGAGCUCGGUUCUAUAUGGAACCAGAGACAUCAGACAGUGGAUCAAUGACUAGUGGUCCUGUAUCUGGACGUGGAGCCAUGGGUGGAGGUACAGGUGCACGGAGCACACGAGGAGCUGCUAGUGCUGCUGUGCGACCCUUACCUGCCUUGAAGGAGAAUGUCAAGCGGGUAAUGUUUUAUUGCUAGGUUAUUCUGAUGACCCAGUAGCUUAUCAUUUGGAUUGUUACUGAGGUUGUAGGUGGAGUACUUGUUGAAACUGUUUUGACUUGAAUUU
This 3346-nucleotide unclassified non-coding RNA is filed under the name Hevea brasiliensis (rubber tree). Lineage: Eukaryota; Viridiplantae; Streptophyta; Magnoliopsida; Malpighiales; Euphorbiaceae. The record is from RNAcentral.